RNAcentral lists this ribosomal RNA (499 nucleotides) under uncultured bacterium. RNAcentral describes it as "partial 16S ribosomal RNA". It matches the Rfam family "Bacterial small subunit ribosomal RNA", at positions 28 to 507 of the family's 1533-position model. The record is from RNAcentral.
GACGAACGCUGGCGGCGUGCUUAACACAUGCAAGUCGAACGGGCCCGCUCUCUUUUUUGGGGGUGGGUUGAGUGGCGAACGGGUGAGUAUCACGUGAGUAACCUGCCCCCUGCUCCUGGAUAACUGCUUGAAAGGGCGGCUAAUACGGGGUGUGCCGGCUGGUCCGCAUGGGCCUGGUCGGGAUAGUUUCAUCUUCGGGUGUUUCGGUGGGGGAUGGGCUCGCGGCCUAUCAGCUUGUUGGUGGGGUGAUGGCCCACCAAGGCGGUGACGGGUAGCCGGCCUGAGAGGGUGGGCGGCCCCACUGGGACUGAGACACGGCCCAGACUCCUGCGGGAGGCAGCAGUGGGGGGUAUUGCACAAUGGGCGGAAGCCUGAUGCAGCGACGUCGCGUGAGGGAUGGAGGCCUUCGGGUUGUGAACCUCUUUCUCCGGUGGUGAAGGCCCUGUCCGUUGCGGCGGGGUUGACGGUAGCCGGGUAUGAAGCGCCGGCUAACUACGUG